RNAcentral lists this ribosomal RNA (275 nucleotides) under uncultured Bacteroides sp. Its description in RNAcentral is "partial 16S ribosomal RNA". It matches the Rfam family "Bacterial small subunit ribosomal RNA", at positions 338 to 610 of the family's 1533-position model. The record is from RNAcentral. Lineage: Bacteria; Pseudomonadati; Bacteroidota; Bacteroidia; Bacteroidales; Bacteroidaceae.
CCUACGGGUGGCUGCAGUGAGGAAUAUUGGUCAAUGGACGAGAGUCUGAACCAGCCAAGUAGCGUGAAGGAUGACUGCCCUAUGGGUUGUAAACUUCUUUUAUAAGGGAAUAAAGUGAGGGACGUGUCCCUUUUUGUAUGUACCUUAUGAAUAAGGAUCGGCUAACUCCGUGCCAGCAGCCGCGGUAAUACGGAGGAUCCGAGCGUUAUCCGGAUUUAUUGGGUUUAAAGGGAGCGUAGGUUGACGUAUAAGUCAGCUGUGAAAGUUUACGGCUC